UUCGUAGAGUCAGGUGAUAGUGGGCGGGACUUAGCUUCUGGUGAAGUUGCCGCCUAUCUCGCCCGUUCCUUUUGCAGCCUCUGCCAUGCCAUGGGUCGGGGUGUUUCUGGGGCUCUUCCUUCUAGGCCGCCCGUCUGGGUGUUUGGACGGCACUUCAGCUCGCGAAGAUUGUCUAAUUGUCCACGUGGCUGAGCCCGAAGGCAGCUCGGUGAACACCUCCAUACCAAAUGCCACCUACGUUUCAGAGACGUCUUUCUUCGUGCAGAAAUAUAACACCUCCAGUUCGUCGUGGCAAGAUGUCAUUUACUCCUCUAAUGAGGGCUCCCAAACAGUCCUCAGUUCCUUCAAGGAGACACUCUCCUUUUCUGGUGGAUACUUCAAGAUGGAGAACGUGAGCAAAGGGGCUGACGGAGUUUACAGGAUUCAGGAUGAAAUGUACAGGAAGUGUGUGGCUGUCGUAAACUUUACUGUGGUGGGCGGCUCGUUAACAUACCGCUGGCUCUGUCUGACUGCGGGAUCAGGAACAAACAUUCAUGAAGGGUCUGCGCUGAAAUCCCUGGGAAAUACGUGAGCCCAGCUCAUUCCCACCUACUGUGUCUGGGACCUCUGGUGCUGAGGAGGAAGCUCGUGAUGAGGCCAAAGGGGAUGAGCCAGCGUCCUGGAAUCGUCUCAUGGUGCGUGGAGUGGUGGCAGUGGUGGGGGUGCUAGUCUUACUAUACCUAUGUGGGUUUUGGAAAGGUAGAGGGAAAGCGUUUGCCUACUCGCGACUCGUCUUCAGGAAGCUGCUGACUCAUCCCUCCCAGCAGCCUGAAAGUCUGCAGGAUUCACAGGAAUCUGAGCUCCCUGCAGUGUGUGACAGGGAGGGGGACCAGGCCCAGGGAACCAGAAACAGGAAUCGAGACCCAGCCCUGGAGAAUGGUGAAGGAGACCUGCUCAUGGAGGACAGACGCUUCACCCAGGAACCCAGAGAAAGGGCUCCAUUAGGUGGGGACACGGGUGUGUCCCAGGAAAUUGGAGUAGCAUUGCCAAUCCUCCAGGAUGACCGGGAGUCUGCAGGAAUUAAAGAUUAAUUUUUAAUUAAA
RNA transcript from Chelonia mydas (Green sea turtle), 1082 nucleotides. RefSeq lists it as uncharacterized. The record is from RefSeq and is a predicted model, not a curated record. NCBI's taxonomy places the organism in Eukaryota, Metazoa, Chordata, Testudines, Cheloniidae. The transcript is spliced from 5 exons.